Molecule: non-coding RNA, 653 nt
Organism: Rattus norvegicus (Norway rat)
Lineage: Eukaryota; Metazoa; Chordata; Mammalia; Rodentia; Muridae
Source: RefSeq, a predicted model, not a curated record
GUCCCCGAUGCCCGUGGCGCUGGUGUAGCGGCUGUCCAUCUCGAGCGGAGGCGCAGAGCACUUGUCCCGAGCCCACAUCCAAGCUGCGGCGGGCUGAGCGCUGCUCGGAGCCGAGCUCCGCACCGACGGGAAGGGGUCUGCUCCUCAAGUCCUGAAAGCUGGGCAGCCUAAAGCGUAUGCGCAGCUCGGGUGACCGCGGAGUUUGGCAAGCAGAUCCCGGGCGGCGCGACUGGGAGUGGGCAAGGCACGGGGCGCCGCAGCAGCCUGCUGGGCAACCCCCACUUUCCUGCGCACACCUGACCCAAGGCGUCACUGCGGGUCCUUUGGCGAUGGCCGCCAGGGGGCGAUGGAGAGCGGAGCGCCUAGCCUCGGGAGGGAGCGUUGCUGACUUUAGUCCUAGCUCACCUGGAGAAUCAAGGACUUAUUACUGGUCUCUCAGGUGACAUUUUAACACUUGGAGCCACCCCCUUAAAGAAUCUGUGUUGCUGCAGGGGGAAAAGAGUGUAGAUGCUUGUCGCUCUAAACAUUUGAAUCACUUUGGUCUUGUUUUCUUUCCCUGGUCGCCCCGUCCUCCACUCAUCACCCCUCAAAUCCACCAAUUCUGAUUUUCUUUCUCUUUCCUCUGUCACAAAUUAAACUGCAGUUGAUGACUA